GCUUAACACAUGCAAGUCGAACGAAGCUAGUAGCAAUAUUAGCUUAGUGGCGGAAGGGUUAGUAAUACAUAGGUAACUUACCUUUAACUCCGGAAUAACGAUUGGAAACGAUCGCUAAUACCGCAUACGCCCUACGGGGGAAAGCGGGGGACCUUCGGGCCUCGCGCGAAAAGAUGAGCCUGCGUCCUAUCAGGUAGUUGGUGAGGUAAUGGCUCACCAAGCCAACGACGGGUAGCUGGUCUGAGAGGACGACCAGCCACACUGGGACUGAGGCACGGCCCAGACUCCUACGGGAGGCAGCAGUGGGGAAUAUUGGACAAUGGGGGCAACCCUGAUCCAGCAAUACCGCGUGUGUGAAGAAGGCCUUCGGGUUGUAAAGCACUUUUAGCAGGAAAGAAAGCCUGUACGUUAAUACCGUACGGUUUUGACGUUACCUGCAGAAAAAGCACCGGCUAACUCCGUGCCAGCAGCCGCGGUAAUAC
Molecule: ribosomal RNA, 482 nt
Filed under: uncultured Gammaproteobacteria bacterium
Lineage: Bacteria; Pseudomonadati; Pseudomonadota; Gammaproteobacteria
Description: bacterial SSU rRNA
Rfam family: Bacterial small subunit ribosomal RNA
Source: RNAcentral